CCGAGCCGUUAGUCGGUGAAUGAGGAAUAUAGUGGAUAUACUCCGUGUGUAUAUAUUUUUACAUACCGCGUGUACUGUAUGAUGGUGCGCAUGUUCCUGCAUGAUCCAUCAGUGUGUAGUGUAAUUUCUCCCCAGAGGACAAACGCGGCUCCGUCAGACGCUAGACGGCUCGGUUCGGAUCAGAUCAGAGGCGAACAAACCUUACGGUGUUCUACAGAAUUACGGCGUGGGCUUCUCCUCGGCCUCCGACGCACAGACGAUGCAGGUCUGGGGUCAUGAGAAUCAUGCUGCUGUAAUGAUGACUCCAUCAGCUCUGGCGAUAAUUGCAUGUCCAGUGCAGUUUGUAGCCGCGGUGAUCGUGUUGUAGAUCGGAUUUGCGUGUAAUUACGGGGUUUAACGACGCUGCUGUAAUCGUACAGAUCGGAUUUGGCGGUCGAUGAAGGUGUGGCGUGGUGUGUCAAAAGAGUGCUGCUUCUUUAAUACUACACUGAGGAGGAGAGUCCAGUAAUGUCAGUUCUGUCGCCUUUUCUUUGUUUGUUUAUCCGAGCUAUGCUGAUGUGGUCUGCGUGUACGCUAGUCACGAUACGCACGCUCAUUCGAUUCGAGUGAACAGGGAUGCGCGGUGAGUUCAGACAGGCUGCAUGGAGUACUCAAGUACCAGGUCUGGGGCCAGAUUGACGCUAAUCUGUUGAUUAUGUAGAUUAGAUUUAGCUGAAAGUUCAAGUCUGAGCACAGUCUUAUGUUGCUGUGGUUAUUAUGUCAAUUGGAUUAGACUGGAAGUUCAGGUCGAGGCUCAUUUUGAUGCUACUAUAGUGAUUAUGUAGAUUAGAUUUAGCUGGAAGUUCAGGUCUUGGGUCAGUCUGGUGCUGCUGUAGUGAUUAUGUAGAUUAGAUUUCUCUGAAGGUUCAGAUCUAGGGUCUGUAUGAUGCUGGAGUAGUGAUUAUGUAGAUUGGAUUUAGCAGAAAGUUUAGGUCUAGGGUCUGUCUGAUGCUGCUGUAGUGAUUAUGUAGAUUAGAUUUUGCAGAAAAUUCAGAUCUGGGGCCAGUCUGAUGCUGCUGUAAUAAUAAUGUAAGAUCAGAUUUAGCGGUGUAUGCCUACACACACACACACACACACACACACACACACACACACACACACACACACUGAUGGUCUAAUGGUUCCAUCUCCUUUCUGUGGUCAAUGUAGUAUUAUGGCUAUUAGUAAUAAAGCUGUGUGUGUGUGCGUGUGUGUGUGUGUUUGUGUGUGUGUGUGUGUGUGUGCGCGUGUGUGCGCGUGUGCGCGUGUGCGUGUGUGUGUGUGUGUGUGUGUGUGUGCGCGUGUGCCUUUUGGAAAACAUUUUCAGGUUUUCAGGAGUAUCACUGUGCUGUUUUUAUUGCAUUCCCAUGGCACCAAUUUAAAGCUAUUCUCCAUGGCAACUUGUGGAUGAAAAG
Molecule: long non-coding RNA, 1433 nt
Organism: Ictalurus punctatus (channel catfish)
Lineage: Eukaryota; Metazoa; Chordata; Actinopteri; Siluriformes; Ictaluridae
Source: Ensembl